RNAcentral lists this transfer RNA (62 nucleotides) under Ictidomys tridecemlineatus (thirteen-lined ground squirrel). RNAcentral's name for it is "Spermophilus tridecemlineatus (thirteen-lined ground squirrel) tRNA". It matches the Rfam family "tRNA", at positions 6 to 65 of the family's 71-position model. Rfam says of the family: Transfer RNA (tRNA) molecules are approximately 80 nucleotides in length. Their secondary structure includes four short double-helical elements and three loops (D, anti-codon, and T loops). Further hydrogen bonds mediate the characteristic L-shaped molecular structure. tRNAs have two regions of fundamental functional importance: the anti-codon, which is responsible for specific mRNA codon recognition, and the 3' end, to which the tRNAs corresponding amino acid is attached (by aminoacyl-tRNA synthetases). tRNAs cope with the degeneracy of the genetic code in two manners: having more than one tRNA (with a specific anti-codon) for a particular amino acid; and 'wobble' base-pairing, i.e. permitting non-standard base-pairing at the 3rd anti-codon position. The record is from Rfam by way of RNAcentral. Lineage: Eukaryota; Metazoa; Chordata; Mammalia; Rodentia; Sciuridae.
UGUAGCUCAGUUGGUAGAGUGCUUGCCUCACAUGUACAAGGCCCUGGGUUCAAUCCCCAGCA